GAUGAACGCUGGCGGCGUGCUUAACACAUGCAAGUCGAACGGAAAGGCCCAAGCUUGCUUGGGUACUCGAGUGGCGAACGGGUGAGUAACACGUGGGUGAUCUGCCCUGCACUUCGGGAUAAGCCUGGGAAACUGGGUCUAAUACUGGAUAGGACCACUUCUUGGAUGGUGUGGUGGAAAGUUUUUUCGGUGGGGGGUGAGCUCGCGGCCUAUCAGCUUGUUUGUGGGGUAAUGGCCUACCAAGGCGUCGACGGGUAGCCGGCCUGAGAGGGUGUACGGCCACAUUGGGACUGGGAUACGGCCCCGACUCCUACGGGAGGCAGCAGUGGGGAAUAUUGCACAAUGGGGGCAAGCCUGAUGCAGCGACGCCGCGUGGGGGGUGACGGCCUUCGGGUUGUAAACCCCUUUCGCUAGGGACGAAGCGUUUUUGUGACGGUACCUGGAGAAGAAGCACCGGCUAACUACGUG
This 468-nucleotide ribosomal RNA is filed under the name uncultured bacterium. RNAcentral's name for it is "partial 16S ribosomal RNA". It matches the Rfam family "Bacterial small subunit ribosomal RNA", at positions 28 to 507 of the family's 1533-position model. The record is from RNAcentral.